RNAcentral lists this unclassified non-coding RNA (363 nucleotides) under uncultured fungus. RNAcentral's name for it is "partial contains small subunit ribosomal RNA, internal transcribed spacer 1, and 5.8S ribosomal RNA". The stretch from base 1 to 73 matches the Rfam family "Eukaryotic small subunit ribosomal RNA", at positions 1759 to 1831 of the family's 1831-position model. Lineage: Eukaryota; Fungi. The record is from RNAcentral.
GCAAACUUGGUCAUUUAGAGGAAGUAAAAGUCGUAACAAGGUUUCCGUAGGUGAACCUGCGGAAGGAUCAUUACAGAAAUAAACUUGAUAGGUUGUAGCUGACUCUAUUAUAGAGUAUUGUGCACACUUGUCAUUUUUAUCUUUCCACCUUUGUGCACUUUGCAUAGGUCUGAGAAUCGAAGUUUACUUUGAUGUUUUGGGAACUGCUGUUGUAAUAUCAGCUUUUCUUGUCUUCAGGCUCUAUGAUUUUUUCUAUACACUCUGCAUGUUAAAGAAUGUUUUGAAAGGCUUAUCAAAGCUAAUAAAUAUAAUACAACUUUCAGCAACGGAUCUCUUGGCUCUCGCAUCGAUGAAGAACGCAGC